GGGAUGAAUUUAACAUCUCCAAUUUUUGGCGCUCAUCAACACGCACUAGUUACCAGUCACCAGUAUACCACGUAUUCUCUUCUAUAUCCCGCCCCUCCUCCUCAAUUGCUCCCUCAACCCCACGUCUUUCUCUCAACUGCUCCCCACACCGAAGUUCAAAGAUGUUGCGAUUAUAGUUCCGAACUCAAUCCGGUUUGAACCUGCUACAACUAUAGUUCCAAACUCAAUCUGGUUUGGUGGGAUUAGAUCAUUGAGGAUUGCCGGUGGAAGACACAUUAUUUGACAAGGUCCAACUUCUUUGAGAAAGAAAUGUUAGUGUUGUUAUCCACGACAAACGAGAACUCAAUACCGUGCGUGUUCACGAGGAAAAUUGAAGCAAGCAGAAAUGGCUCAACAAAGACAGAAAGCAACCACAAAAGGCAAGGGAAAAGAUAAGGCAACUGGUUCCAACGGAAAAGAGAAAAACUAGGCAGCUUUGUGAUUUUUAUGGGAGUUAGCUUGAUCUUUUAAUUUGGUUCAUUUGGAAGAAGUCGGUUUUAUCAAAGGGGUGGUCAAUGGUAGGACUGAGUAAUUUAUUAGAGUGCGCUGAGAAUAUAUGCAUUGUGCCUCGAGUGCAAUUGUGUUUUUUUGUAUAGUUGAAAUCGUUGGAUAAGGGUUGAGAUAUUACACGUGAGCCCAACAUUGGUUUGAGAGCUAAUUGUUCAAGCCGUGGCUUCAGGCACAGGCAUGUGUUGUAAGUGAACGUGUUGCGGAUAUCAAGACGCGUACUCAAGCUAUGAAAUGCCUUACUAUUUUUUCGAAGAUGUAGGCCCAAGAUUUGUUUUUGAAAGAGUAAGUCUGGAUGCACCUUUUCUACUUUGUGUUUAGGCUGGAAGUAAUGAUCUGCAUGGAAGAGAUGCUUAGAUAGAAUUUCCUGCCGAGAAUUAUUUCCAAUUCUAUUGACUUGACUUAUUUCCUUUCUCAUUUUCUUUGUUUUAGCUUUACAAAAUCAUGAAGGAGCAUAAGAAUCCCAUGGUGCUUAGCGAGGGUAUUCUAUGGAUGGUUUCUGCAGUUGACGACUUUGGUGUAUCACAACUGAAACUAAAGGUGCCUCUAGUGUUGCAAUUGGCUAAUUUCAAAUGAUGAAAGCUGAAGGAUUACCUCCAUUUU
Molecule: long non-coding RNA, 1149 nt
Organism: Rhododendron vialii
Lineage: Eukaryota; Viridiplantae; Streptophyta; Magnoliopsida; Ericales; Ericaceae
Exons: 7
Source: RefSeq, a predicted model, not a curated record